UUUUUUUUUUAUGUUGAUAUUCUUUUGUUGUGUUUUCAUUAGAUGUAUAUAGAAAAGAAAAUAAAGAUGAUAUCAAAAGAUAGCAAAUCUUUAUUUAUUUAAUCUUUUGAAUUUUUUGACCCAUAUGUAAAUAUGGUAAUGCCACCAAGAAGACUACAAUAUAAUCAAUACUUUAGUAAAUUCUUAGAUAUUUCAAAAUAAAUAAUAAAAAUAAGUUGAGACAUCAUUAACUUCAUAAUUAUAAGAAAUUAUUAUCCAUGUCUUACUACAGAUUUUAUGAAGAUUUUAUGAAGAUGUUUGUGUGGUAUUAAUAAUAAAAGUAUUGAUGGUCUAAUUUGAAAGUAUUGAUGGUCCAAAAUUCAAGAAAAUGAAACCUAUUUACAAGUUUUAAAUUUUCCAAUAAAGUUUUGUUAUUACUUUUAACAUUACAUGUACAUGACAUGACAAACUUUGAGCAUGGAACAUAAAUAUGAAUAACAUCAUAUGUUAAGUAAAUCAAACUCAUUAAAAAAAAUUAGGUCUUUCCAUCAACUGGUUAAAGUUUACAAGACUUUGGUAUUAAGUCCAAGCCUUCUUGAGUUUAAAAAUACAUAAAAACCAACAUCCUGUAACAAAAUUUCAUAAGAUAGAGCAAAGAGUUGCAUGCACAAAGCCAAUGUGGCCAUCACAGAAAACAAAAGUCAGCAAUUGCAGGCCUAGAGACAACCCAUGUUUUCAUUAGUAAUAAGAUGAAUGUAUUUAGACAACCCAUGAUCAGAGCCAUAUUUCAUAUAGAUAUUCUUACAUCAGAGCACUGCUCUGGUACAAUCUUAGUCAAAUUCAACCGCAGACAAAAAGACCUAAUUCUGAGCUCAAAAUAUUACGAAGGAAUUACUAUGGCAGGUCACACAUGUGGAAAGACUUGCAAGUAUAAGAUAAAGAGCAAUCACAACUUGAAACUCUGUAGGAAAAAAAAAAUGCAAUCUUUACUUUUUAGGGUUUCAUUAGACGUAAUCAACCCUUCUGUACACAAUCAGCAAAGAAAACGGGCAGUGCCAUAAUCAACAAGUGCAACCCACUGCGACUAUUGACCGCACAUUUGGCUUUUGCAAUAGAAAUCUUCUGGCUUUCUCCAGAGGCCGCAAAAGCAGCAAACAAGGUUCAAAAUUGAUCUCCACGAGGUAAAUUCCAUGCUACAACCUCGGGUUGCAAAAUUCACACAGAAAAUGACGAAGAACCUGGAGAACUUGUGCGAGGGAUUCGGUACCGAAAAGCCCCAGAACAGCCUCUGAGACUGUGCCACAAGCAAUGCCGGAAGCCAUGGGGUGCUGAGCGAGGUUGCGUGGGUGGCAACGGCUUCUUGGACUUGUUCUUCUCGAUUUGUCCGGACUUGCUCCUCCAGAUUUGUUCGCACUCCGCUGCGCACUCCAGCAACUCUUUCGCAUGAGCAUCCCAGAUCGCUUGAUCGUGGUCAACAAUUGGAACCUGGCCCUUCUUCGGACUGUCCAUGGUACCCCUUGCACCGAAUCAGCUGUCUUUACUGCUGCAAAACCAAGUCUAGAAUUCUAAAUUGACGAGUUCGGGAGAAUGAAAACAAUUCCGGAAGGCCUGAAAAACACAAUUAUCUGCAGCGGACAUCUAAUCUCAGUGAAAUUCCUGGAUGCAAGUGUACACAACGACAAAAGCAGGAAAAAUGGUCUGAGAGACGAUGAUGCGAUGCCCUCGAGAUGGACUAACCGGCUCUGCCAGCUUCUCGCUGGAAAUUAAUAAACCCAGUUCCAUAGGGAGAGCAUAUGGAGGAACUGGGUUCUACCGAAACUAGGUUUGCCGACACAGUUGGCCAAGACCGAGUACAGACUGGCCCGAUGCGCGUACGACGUGGUUCGAUGGCUUCCAAGUCCACAGUGCUUGUUUUACCCCGUCGCUGGUCUGCAAGCACAGAUUGGGACGCAAUCAGACAUGGUUUGAACGCUGUUGUCUGAAGGAAUGCACGACAUGAGACUAAUCGCCUUGACUGUGGUAGGAAUUCUCGCAGUGCAGACCUGGAUAUUUGUGGUCACGGACCCCACAAAACGACUGCAAAAAAACCUCAUCUAUGACCCACCACUGGGCUUGAUCCUCAUCGCUUCACAUCGAUUCGUGACUCAGCGUCAAUGUCGUCUCUCCCGUCGAGACGUUCAUGUAGGUAUACA
RNAcentral lists this long non-coding RNA (2171 nucleotides) under Physcomitrium patens. Its description in RNAcentral is "long non-coding RNA (PPAT_LNC012689)". Lineage: Eukaryota; Viridiplantae; Streptophyta; Bryopsida; Funariales; Funariaceae. The record is from RNAcentral.